UACGUAGGGGACGAGCGUUGUCCGGAAUUACUGGGCGUAAAGGGCGCGCAGGCUGUAGAUCAAGUCAGCUGUGAAAUGUCUGGGCUUAACCCGGGCAUGCGGUUGAAACUGAUGUACUGGAGUGCUGGAGAGGGAAGUGGAAUUCCCAGUGUAGCGGUGAAAUGCGUAGAUAUUGGGAAGAACACCGGUGGCGAAGGCGACUUGCUGGGCAGCAACUGACGCUGAGGCGCGAAAGCCAGGGGAGCAAACGGGGAUUAGAUA
RNAcentral lists this ribosomal RNA (261 nucleotides) under uncultured prokaryote. RNAcentral's name for it is "partial 16S ribosomal RNA". It matches the Rfam family "Bacterial small subunit ribosomal RNA", at positions 524 to 784 of the family's 1533-position model. The record is from RNAcentral.